AAAAGUCGUAACAAGGUCUCCGUUGGUGAACCAGCGGAGGG
This 41-nucleotide ribosomal RNA is filed under the name Trichoderma virens. RNAcentral describes it as "partial small subunit ribosomal RNA". Lineage: Eukaryota; Fungi; Ascomycota; Sordariomycetes; Hypocreales; Hypocreaceae. The record is from RNAcentral.